GCUGAUGGCGCGUCGGAGUCCCUGGCGCUCCGCCCAGUCGGCCCAGACUGCAGCUCCCGGUUGAGAUGUGUCUUUGCCGCCCUCUUCUCCCCCAGAGGGCCCAGUAUCAAGACAAGCUGGCCCGGCAGCGCUACGAGGACCAACUGAAGCAGCAGCAACUUCUCAAUGAGGAGAAUUUACGGAAGCAGGAGGAGUCCGUGCAGAAGCAGGAAGCCAUGCGGCGAGCCACCGUGGAGCGGGAGAUGGAGCUGCGGCACAAGAACGAGAUGCUGCGAGUGGAGGCCGAGGCCUGGGCGCGCGCCAAGGCCGAGCGGGAGAAUGCAGACAUCAUCCGCGAGCAGAUCCGCCUGAAGGCGGCCGAGCACCGUCAGACCGUCUUGGAGUCCAUCAGGACGGCUGGCACCUUGUUUGGGGAAGGAUUCCGUGCCUUUGUGACAGACUGGGACAAAGUGACAGCCACGGUGGCUGGGCUGACGCUGCUGGCUGUCGGGGUCUACU
RNAcentral lists this small RNA (498 nucleotides) under Pan troglodytes (chimpanzee). RNAcentral's name for it is "retained intron". Lineage: Eukaryota; Metazoa; Chordata; Mammalia; Primates; Hominidae. The record is from RNAcentral.